AAUAAAUUGCCUGAUAAAAGGAACACUUUGAUAGAGUGUAAUAUAUAAUUAUAUCAAUUAUAUUUAUUA
Molecule: transfer RNA, 69 nt
Filed under: Trichosia lengersdorfi
Lineage: Eukaryota; Metazoa; Arthropoda; Insecta; Diptera; Sciaridae
Description: tRNA-Ile
Source: RNAcentral